UCACAUCGAUCAGACAACAACAUGGCAGGACCCCAGGAAGGCCAUGCUGUCCCAGAUGAACGUCACAGCCCCCACCAGUCCACCAGUGCAGCAGAAUAUGAUGAACUCGGCUUCAGGUCCUCUUCCUGAUGGAUGGGAACAAGCCAUGACUCAGGAUGGAGAAAUUUACUAUAUAAACCAUAAGAACAAGACCACCUCUUGGCUAGACCCAAGGCUUGACCCUCGUUUUGGUAAAGGUUCAUCUCAAAACCUUUUUAGAUGCUUUUGGUUGCUAAUUUUUUUUGUAAAUAUACUUCGGAAAGCACAUUUAAAUAAAAUCGCAUUGCUUUAUAGUAUUAAAAAAUGACCCUGCCCACCCAACGUUUACCAGUAGUGUUUUUAUCCUUCUCAUUGUAAACUUGAGAAAUUUAGAUCUGAAUCAGAUUUUUAGGGCUCCUCAGGUUGGGGUGGGGGAAUGUCAUAAUGGCCGACUAACCAGAAUCACUUGUUCCUUUCACAUUUUGGGAGAAACACAGUGAUUGUUUUCAAAAUGAUUUUUUUUUAGCUGCAAUAAUAAUCAGGCUGUCAUGCAACACCUCAGACCAGGAGUACCAGCUUUUGUCAGUGACCUGAUGUCUGCUUGUGCUUAGGUUCUGAGAGUGAUGAGUACCAUCCUAUGCCUGGGUGUUGUAGUGUUUCCCAUCCUAAGGAGGAAUAUGUCACCCCAGAAAUGGCCCAGUGAAAGCAUUGUGCCCCCUCUUCUGUCUCUCUUGAAAAAUAAAUGUUCUUUUUUUCUUCAUUCAGA
This 784-nucleotide small RNA is filed under the name Pan troglodytes (chimpanzee). RNAcentral's name for it is "retained intron". The record is from RNAcentral. Lineage: Eukaryota; Metazoa; Chordata; Mammalia; Primates; Hominidae.